RNAcentral lists this ribosomal RNA (595 nucleotides) under Candida tropicalis. RNAcentral describes it as "LSU rRNA". It matches the Rfam family "Eukaryotic large subunit ribosomal RNA", at positions 65 to 664 of the family's 3401-position model. The record is from RNAcentral. Lineage: Eukaryota; Fungi; Ascomycota; Pichiomycetes; Serinales; Debaryomycetaceae.
CCAACAGGGAUUGCCUUAGUAGCGGCGAGUGAAGCGGCAAAAGCUCAAAUUUGAAAUCUGGCUCUUUCAGAGUCCGAGUUGUAAUUUGAAGAAGGUAUCUUUGGGUCUGGCUCUUGUCUAUGUUUCUUGGAACAGAACGUCACAGAGGGUGAGAAUCCCGUGCGAUGAGAUGAUCCAGGCCUAUGUAAAGUUCCUUCGAAGAGUCGAGUUGUUUGGGAAUGCAGCUCUAAGUGGGUGGUAAAUUCCAUCUAAAGCUAAAUAUUGGCGAGAGACCGAUAGCGAACAAGUACAGUGAUGGAAAGAUGAAAAGAACUUUGAAAAGAGAGUGAAAAAGUACGUGAAAUUGUUGAAAGGGAAGGGCUUGAGAUCAGACUUGGUAUUUUGUAUGUUACUUCUUCGGGGGUGGCCUCUACAGUUUAUCGGGCCAGCAUCAGUUUGGGCGGUAGGAGAAUUGCGUUGGAAUGUGGCACGGCUUCGGUUGUGUGUUAUAGCCUUCGUCGAUACUGCCAGCCUAGACUGAGGACUGCGGUUUAUACCUAGGAUGUUGGCAUAAUGAUCUUAAGUCGCCCGUCUGAAAAACCGGGACCAAAAAAAA